GACGAACGCUGGCGGCGUGCCUAACACAUGCAAGUCGAGCGGUAAGGCCCUUUCGGGGGUACACGAGCGGCGAACGGGUGAGUAACACGUGGGUGACCUGCCUUUAGCUCUGGGAUAAGCCUGGGAAACUGGGUCUAAUACCGGAUAUGACCCUAUGGCGCAUGUUGUGGGGUGGAAAGCCUUGUGCGGCUAGGGAUGGGCCCGCGGCCUAUCAGCUUGUUGGUGGGGUGAUGGCCUACCAAGGCGACGACGGGUAGCCGGCCUGAGAGGGCGACCGGCCACACUGGGACUGAGACACGGCCCAGACUCCUACGGGAGGCAGCAGUGGGGAAUCUUGCGCAAUGGGCGAAAGCCUGACGCAGCGACGCCGCGUGAGGGAUGACGGCCU
Molecule: ribosomal RNA, 388 nt
Filed under: uncultured bacterium
Lineage: Bacteria
Description: bacterial SSU rRNA
Rfam family: Bacterial small subunit ribosomal RNA
Source: RNAcentral